Molecule: ribosomal RNA, 963 nt
Filed under: Cassidulinoides sp.
Lineage: Eukaryota; Foraminifera; Rotaliida; Cassidulinidae
Description: partial small subunit ribosomal RNA
Rfam family: Eukaryotic small subunit ribosomal RNA
Source: RNAcentral
AAGGGCACCACAAGAACGCGUGGAGCAUGUGGCUUAAUUUGACUCAACGCGGGAAAUCUUACCGGGUCCGGACACACUGAGGAUUGACAGGCAAUAUUAUAAUUUUUUAAUUGAAAUAAAUUUUUAUUAAUUUAUUUUUUUUAUUUUUUAUAUGUUAAAUAUGCUAGUCCUUUCAUGAUUAUGUGAUAGGUGGUGCAUGGCCGUUCUUAGUUCGUGGAGUGAUCUGUCUGCUUAAUUGCGUUUCACUAUUGGGCUUAUAUAAUUACGUAUGUUGUUAACGCUUUGACCCCUUUCUACGGAUUGUGCGUGUCUUUGUCUCGUUUAACUCAUACAAUUAAGCCCUGAAAGCAACGAACGUGACCGCAACCUCUUGUUGCUCUCAUAUUACCUUAUACUGCAUAAUAUUUGAAUAAUUUAUUUUAUUUUUUUUUAUGUUUAAGAGAGCUUUCUAAACUAGAGGGACCGCUGUUACUUUCUUAAACCAGAGGAAGGUUGCGGCAAUAACAGGUCUGUGAUGCCCUUAGAUGUUCCGGGCUGCACACGUGCUACAAUGAUUAUUGCAGUGAGCAUCUCAUUUUUUACACAUCGCAUGCGCGAGUCCAUUUAUUCAGAUAUCUUUCAUUUACUUUCGGGUGAAUGUAGUGUUUGCUUUAAAUGUGUAUCUCUGCGCGCGAUAAAGCCUGCUUCGAAAGUAAGUGGGUAAUCAAUUAGAAGUAAUGAUUUCCUUUUUUUUUCUGCACACAUAUAUAUGGCACUUAUACCCGGGUAACCUUGUUGUUACUUUUGUGCGUAUACGUGAUAAUCUUUACCGAUUAUACUACCAUAUGUGCAAUUGUCAAUUCAUGGUGGGGCCAGACCAUUGUUAAUUGUUGGUCUCGGUCUUAACUAGGAAUGCCUUGUACGGAUCUUUGGUUCAACAAACCAUCCGGAAUACGUCCCUGCCCUUUGUACACACCGCCCGUC